This 1287-nucleotide ribosomal RNA is filed under the name metagenome. Its description in RNAcentral is "bacterial SSU rRNA". It matches the Rfam family "Bacterial small subunit ribosomal RNA", at positions 242 to 1520 of the family's 1533-position model. The record is from RNAcentral.
UAGCUAGUUGGUGAGGUAAAGGCUUACCAAGGCGACGAUCUGUAGCGGGUCUGAGAGGAUGAUCCGCCACACUGGAACUGAGACACGGUCCAGACUCCUACGGGAGGCAGCAGUGGGGAAUUUUGGACAAUGGGGGCAACCCUGAUCCAGCCAUGCCGCGUGAGUGAAGAAGGCCUUCGGGUUGUAAAGCUCUUUCGGCCGGGAAGAAAUCGCAUGGGCCAAUACCCUGUGUGGAUGACGGUACCGGAAUAAGAAGCACCGGCUAACUACGUGCCAGCAGCCGCGGUAAUACGUAGGGUGCGAGCGUUAAUCGGAAUUACUGGGCGUAAAGCGUGCGCAGGCGGUUUUGUAAGACAGGCGUGAAAUCCCCGGGCUUAACCUGGGAACUGCGUUUGUGACUGCAAGGCUAGAGUACGGCAGAGGGGGGUGGAAUUCCACGUGUAGCAGUGAAAUGCGUAGAGAUGUGGAGGAACACCAAUGGCGAAGGCAGCCCCCUGGGUCGAUACUGACGCUCAUGCACGAAAGCGUGGGUAGCAAACAGGAUUAGAUACCCUGGUAGUCCACGCCCUAAACUAUGUCAACUAGGUGUUGGGUGGGUAAAACCAUUUAGUACCGUAGCUAACGCGUGAAGUUGACCGCCUGGGGAGUACGGCCGCAAGGUUAAAACUCAAAGGAAUUGACGGGGACCCGCACAAGCGGUGGAUGAUGUGGAUUAAUUCGAUGCAACGCGAGAAACCUUACCUACCCUUGACAUGCCAGGAACUUGCCAGAGAUGGCUUGGUGCCCGAAAGGGAGCCUGGACACAGGUGCUGCAUGGCUGUCGUCAGCUCGUGUCGUGAGAUGUUGGGUUAAGUCCCGCAACGAGCGCAACCCUUGUCGUUAAUUGCCAUCAUUUAGUUGGGCACUUUAACGAGACUGCCGGUGACAAACCGGAGGAAGGUGGGGAUGACGUCAAGUCCUCAUGGCCCUUAUGGGUAGGGCUUCACACGUCAUACAAUGGUCGGUACAAAGGGUUGCCAAGCCGCGAGGCGGAGCCAAUCCCAGAAAGCCGAUCGUAGUCCGGAUUGCAGGCUGCAACUCGCCUGCAUGAAGUCGGAAUCGCUAGUAAUCGUGGAUCAGCAUGUCACGGUGAAUACGUUCCCGGGUCUUGUACACACCGCCCGUCACACCAUGGGAGCGGGUUCCGCCAGAAGUAGGUAGCCUAACCGCAAGGGGGGCGCUUACCACGGCGGGGUUCGUGACUGGGGUGAAGCCGUAACAAGGUAGCCGUAGGGGAACCUGCGGCUG